This 559-nucleotide ribosomal RNA is filed under the name uncultured bacterium. RNAcentral describes it as "partial 16S ribosomal RNA". It matches the Rfam family "Bacterial small subunit ribosomal RNA", at positions 355 to 906 of the family's 1533-position model. The record is from RNAcentral.
UGGGGAAUUUUGGACAAUGGGGGAAACCCUGAUCCAGCCAUCCCGCGUGUGCGAUGAAGGCCUUCGGGUUGUAAAGCACUUUUGGCAGGAAAGAAACGUCGCGGGUUAAUACCCCGCGGAACUGACGGUACCUGCAGAAUAAGCACCGGCUAACUACGUGCCAGCAGCCGCGGUAAUACGUAGGGUGCAAGCGUUAAUCGGAAUUACUGGGCGUAAAGCGUGCGCAGGCGGUUCGGAAAGAAAGAUGUGAAAUCCCAGAGCUUAACUUUGGAACUGCAUUUUUAACUACCGGGCUAGAGUGUGUCAGAGGGAGGUGGAAUUCCGCGUGUAGCAGUGAAAUGCGUAGAUAUGCGGAGGAACACCGAUGGCGAAGGCAGCCUCCUGGGAUAACACUGACGCUCAUGCGCGAAAGCGUGGGGAGCAAACAGGAUUAGAUACCCGUGGUAGUCCACGCCCUAAACGAUGUCAACUAGCUGUUGGGGUCUUCGGACCUUGGUAGCGCAGCUAACGCGUGAAGUUGACCGCCUGGGGAGUACGGUCGCAAGAUUAAAACUCAAAU